This 208-nucleotide ribosomal RNA is filed under the name uncultured bacterium. RNAcentral's name for it is "partial 16S ribosomal RNA". It matches the Rfam family "Bacterial small subunit ribosomal RNA", at positions 568 to 774 of the family's 1533-position model. The record is from RNAcentral.
CUCGUAGGUGGUUUGUCGCGUCGUCUGUGAAAUUCCGGGGCUUAACUCCGGGCGUGCAGGCGAUACGGGCAUAACUUGAGUGCUGUAGGGGAGACUGGAAUUCCUGGUGUAGCGGUGAAAUGCGCAGAUAUCAGGAGGAACACCGAUGGCGAAGGCGGCUCACUGGGCCAUUACUGACGCUGAGGCACGAAAGCGUGGGGAGCAAACA